AGUUUGAACUUCAGCAACUCAUCUUCACCACAUCACAAUGCCUAAAUGCAUUGAGUUGCCGCCGUGUGAUUGGUUGAUUAGCCAUUUGUGUUACCAAGUAAUUGGACAGGUGUACCUAAUGAAGUGGCUGAUGUGUGUAUAUUUCAUGU
Thalassophryne amazonica is the source of this 149-nucleotide long non-coding RNA. RefSeq lists it as uncharacterized. The transcript has 3 exons. Lineage: Eukaryota; Metazoa; Chordata; Actinopteri; Batrachoidiformes; Batrachoididae. The record is from RefSeq and is a predicted model, not a curated record.